Molecule: long non-coding RNA, 376 nt
Organism: Helianthus annuus (common sunflower)
Lineage: Eukaryota; Viridiplantae; Streptophyta; Magnoliopsida; Asterales; Asteraceae
Exons: 2
Source: RefSeq, a predicted model, not a curated record
GGCACCCCACCAGCAUCAGCACCAAGGUUUCACAAAAUGAGGCUCAGUGGUGUUACAUUGUUCUUAUUAGUUGUUUUUAUAUAUGUCCUGAUGUUGAAUAUUUCUUCAGAAGGAAGACGCCUUCAAAGCUCUCAACCCCCAAGUAAAGCCCCAUCUGGAUCCAAUGUCGAUAAAUUAAGAAAACAUGACGACGAAAAACAGUGGGGAGGUUGUUGGAAGUGCUGGUAAGAUGAUGUGUGAUUCGCAUUUCAUGUUGUUUAGUCAUGUAAUAUUUGUUGUUGGACACUUGACAUUUAUUCGAAUCAUAACAUUCAUCUUUUGUUUUUUACUUUUUUACGAGUAUAGUAUAUGGACUAGUAAGUAUCCUAGUUUGUAA